Molecule: non-coding RNA, 75 nt
Organism: Parelaphostrongylus tenuis
Lineage: Eukaryota; Metazoa; Nematoda; Chromadorea; Rhabditida; Metastrongylidae
Source: the annotation of a GenBank genome assembly
GCGUCAGUAGUGCAGCGGGUUAGAGCACACGUUCCUGGAUCGAGUGAGAUAUGGGUUUUAGCCCCGCCUGACGCG